GACGAACGCUGGCGGCGUGCUUAACACAUGCAAGUCGAACGGAAAGGCCCUGCUUUUGUGGGGUGCUCGAGUGGCGAACGGGUGAGUAACACGUGAGUAACCUGCCCUUGACUUUGGGAUAACUUCAGGAAACUGGGGCUAAUACCGGAUAGGAGCUCCUGCUGCAUGGUGGGGGUUGGAAAGUUUCGGCGGUUGGGGUUGGACUUGCGGCUUAUCAGCUUGUUGGUGGGGUAGUGGCUUACCAAGGCUUUGACGGGUAGCCGGCCUGAGAGGGUGACCGGCCACAUUGGGACUCGGGUGCGGCCCGGAGGCAUUCGGGAGGAAGGAGCGGGGAAUAUAGCACAAUGGGCGGAAGGCGGAUGGAGCAACGCCGCGUGGGGGAUGACUGUCUUCGGGUUGUAAAGCGCUUGCGCCUGUGACGAAGCGUGAGUGACGGUAAUGGGUAAAGAAGCGCCGGCUAACUACGUG
This 468-nucleotide ribosomal RNA is filed under the name uncultured bacterium. RNAcentral describes it as "partial 16S ribosomal RNA". It matches the Rfam family "Bacterial small subunit ribosomal RNA", at positions 28 to 507 of the family's 1533-position model. The record is from RNAcentral.